RNAcentral lists this ribosomal RNA (497 nucleotides) under uncultured bacterium. RNAcentral describes it as "partial 16S ribosomal RNA". It matches the Rfam family "Bacterial small subunit ribosomal RNA", at positions 28 to 507 of the family's 1533-position model. The record is from RNAcentral.
GAUGAACGCUGGCGGCGUGCCUAAUACAUGCAAGUCGAGCGAACAGACGAGGAGCUUGCUCCUUUGACGUUAGCGGCGGACGGGUGAGUAACACGUGGGUAACCUACCUAUAAGACUGGGAUAACUUCGGGAAACCGGAGCUAAUACCGGAUAAUAUUUCGAACCGCAUGGUUCGAUAGUGAAAGAUGGCUUUGCUAUCACUUAUAGAUGGACCUGCGCCGUAUUAGCUAGUUGGUAAGGUAACGGCUUACCAAGGCAACGAUACGUAGCCGACCUGAGAGGGUGAUCGGCCACACUGGAACUGAGACACGGUCCAGACUCCUACGGGAGGCAGCAGUAGGGAAUCUUCCGCAAUGGGCGAAAGCCUGACGGAGCAACGCCGCGUGAGUGAUGAAGGUCUUCGGAUCGUAAAACUCUGUUAUUAGGGAAGAACAAACGUGUAAGUAACUGUGCACGUCUCGACGGUACCUAAUCAGAAAGCCACGGCUAACUACGUG